Molecule: ribosomal RNA, 680 nt
Filed under: Escherichia coli
Lineage: Bacteria; Pseudomonadati; Pseudomonadota; Gammaproteobacteria; Enterobacterales; Enterobacteriaceae
Description: partial 23S ribosomal RNA
Rfam family: Bacterial large subunit ribosomal RNA
Source: RNAcentral
GGUUAAGCGACUAAGCGUACACGGUGGAUGCCCUGGCAGUCAGAGGCGAUGAAGGACGUGCUAAUCUGCGAUAAGCGUCGGUGAGGUGAUAUGAACCGUUAUAACCGGCGAUUUCCGAAUGGGGAAACCCAGUGUGUUUCGACACACUAUCAUUAACUGAAUCCAUAGGUUAAUGAGGCGAACCGGGGGAACUGAAACAUCUAAGUACCCCGAGGAAAAGAAAUCAACCGAGAUUCCCCCAGUAGCGGCGAGCGAACGGGGAGGAGCCCAGAGCCUGAAUCAGUGUGUGUGUUAGUGGAAGCGUCUGGAAAGGCGCGCGAUACAGGGUGACAGCCCCGUACACAAAAAUGCACAUAUUGUGAGCUCGAUGAGUAGGGCGGGACACGUGGUAUCCUGUCUGAAUAUGGGGGGACCAUCCUCCAAGGCUAAAUACUCCUGACUGACCGAUAGUGAACCAGUACCGUGAGGGAAAGGCGAAAAGAACCCCGGCGAGGGGAGUGAAAAAGAACCUGAAACCGUGUACGUACAAGCAGUGGGAGCCUCUUAAUGGGGUGACUGCGUACCUUUUGUAUAAUGGGUCAGCGACUUAUAUUCUGUAGCAAGGUUAACCGAAUAGGGGAGCCGAAGGGAAACCGAGUCUUAACUGGGCGUUAAGUUGCAGGGUAUAGACCCGAAACCCG